GCCGUUCUCAGUUCGGAUCGGAGUCUGCAACCCGACUCCGUGAAGCUGGAUUCGCUAGUAAUCGCGCAUCAGCCAUGGCGCGGUGAAUACGUUCCCGGGCCUUGUACACACCGCCCGUCACACCAUGGGAGCCGGGAAUGCCCGAAGUCGGUGACCCAACCGUAAGGAGGGAGCCGCCGAAGGCAGGCCUGGUAACUGGGGUGAAGUCGUAACAAGGUAGC
Molecule: ribosomal RNA, 221 nt
Filed under: uncultured bacterium
Lineage: Bacteria
Description: partial 16S ribosomal RNA
Rfam family: Bacterial small subunit ribosomal RNA
Source: RNAcentral